RNAcentral lists this ribosomal RNA (438 nucleotides) under uncultured bacterium. RNAcentral's name for it is "partial 16S ribosomal RNA". It matches the Rfam family "Bacterial small subunit ribosomal RNA", at positions 339 to 795 of the family's 1533-position model. The record is from RNAcentral.
CUACGGGCCGCAGCAGUGGGGAAUAUUGCACAAUGGAGGAAACUCUGAUGCAGCAACGCCGCGUGGAGGAUGACACUUUUCGGAGCGUAAACUCCUUUUAUAUAGGAAGAAGAUGACGGUACUAUAUGAAUAAGCGCCGGCUAACUCCGUGCCAGCAGCCGCGGUAAUACGGAGGGCGCAAGCGUUACUCGGAAUCACUGGGCAUAAAGAGCGUGUAGGCGGAUUAAAAAGUCAGAAGUGAAAUCCUAUAGCUUAACUAUAGAACUGCUUCUGAAACUCUUAAUCUAGAAUAUGGGAGAGGUAGAUGGAAUUUCUGGUGUAGGGGUAAAAUCCGUAGAGAUCAGAAGGAAUACCGAUUGCGAAGGCGAUCUACUAGAACAUUAUUGACGCUGAGACGCGAAAGCGUGGGGAGCAAACAGGAUAGAUACCCUUGUAGUC